AUUGAACGCUGGCGGUAGGCCUAACACAUGCAAGUCGAACGCGAACGUCCUUCGGGAUGAGUAGAGUGGCGGACGGGUGAGUAACGCGUAGGAAUCUAUCCUGUAGUGGGGGAUAACGUUUCGAGAGGAACGCUAAUACCGUAUACGCCCCACGGGGGAAAGCGGGGGAUCUUCGGACCUCGUGCUAUAGGAGGAGCCUGCGUCGGAUUAGCUAGUUGGGGAGGUAAAGGCUCACCAAGGCGACGAUCCGUAGCUGGUCUGAGAGGAUGAUCAGCCACACCGGAACUGAGACACGGUCCGGACUCCUACGGGAGGCAGCAGUGGGGAAUAUUGCGCAAUGGGCGAAAGCCUGACGCAGCCGUACCGCGUGUGUGAAGAAGGCCUUCGGGUUGUAAAGCACUUUCAGUGGGGAGGAAAAGCGGGUGGCUAAUAUCCAUCGGCCGUGACGCUACCCACAGAAGAAGCACCGGCUAAUUCCGUGCCAGCCGCCGCAGUAAGAC
Molecule: ribosomal RNA, 500 nt
Filed under: uncultured bacterium
Lineage: Bacteria
Description: bacterial SSU rRNA
Rfam family: Bacterial small subunit ribosomal RNA
Source: RNAcentral